RNAcentral lists this long non-coding RNA (343 nucleotides) under Zonotrichia albicollis (white-throated sparrow). RNAcentral describes it as "lncRNA (ENSZALG00000012599.1)". The record is from RNAcentral. Lineage: Eukaryota; Metazoa; Chordata; Aves; Passeriformes; Passerellidae.
CCCUGCAGGGUGAAGAAAUAAGAAUGUGAGAAGAGAAGAGAAGAGACUGCUGAGACCAGACAAUUUAAAAGCGCAAGUCUCUUGCUUCUAGCUGUUGUGGCAGCUCUCUGAAUUAAAACUGAGCUUAAAUGAAGCUGCUGGGAAGAAAUGCAGGUCAAGCCUAGGAAGUCAUAACCCUGAGCUGCUGCAGAAGAAAUCCUCUGUGUGUUCUCCUGAAUUGUAAAGGCUGGUAAGAAAGAGAAGCCAAAGUCAUCCAUUAAUCCACAGGCAAAGUCCUAUUGAAGCUGCUGCAGUGAAAGCUCUCACACGCUGCCCUGGAAAUAACCCCGGCCGUGACGUGGUG